This 504-nucleotide ribosomal RNA is filed under the name uncultured bacterium. RNAcentral describes it as "partial 16S ribosomal RNA". It matches the Rfam family "Bacterial small subunit ribosomal RNA", at positions 28 to 523 of the family's 1533-position model. The record is from RNAcentral.
GAUAAACGCUAGCGGCAGGCUUAACACAUGCAAGUCGAGGGGCAGCUUAGAUUGUAGCAAUACAAUUGGUGGCGACCGGCGCACGGGUGCGUAACGCGUAUGCAACCUACCCGUCACAGGGGGAUAAUCCGGAGAAAUCUGGUCUAAUACCCCAUAACAUAUGGAUCGGCAUCGGUUCAUGUUGAAAUUUUCGGAGGUGACGGAUGGGCAUGCGUAGCAUUAGCUUGUUGGUGAGGUAACGGCUCACCAAGGCGACGAUGCUUAGGGGGACUGAGAGGUUUUCCCCCCACACUGGUACUGAGACACGGACCAGACUCCUACGGGAGGCAGCAGUGAGGAAUAUUGGUCAAUGGGCGCAAGCCUGAACCAGCCAUGCCGCGUGCAGGAUGACGGCUAUAUGAGUUGUAAACUGCUUUUGUACGAGGGUAAAGUGGGUUACGUGUAACCUUUUGAAAGUAUCGUACGAAUAAGGAUCGGCUAACUCCGUGCCAGCCGCCGCGGUAA